Molecule: long non-coding RNA, 1032 nt
Organism: Olea europaea var. sylvestris
Lineage: Eukaryota; Viridiplantae; Streptophyta; Magnoliopsida; Lamiales; Oleaceae
Exons: 4
Source: RefSeq, a predicted model, not a curated record
CAGGUAACCAAAUUUUUUAUUUUGUAAUCUAUCUGCUUAUUAUAAACUUGUGACAGGAUACGGGACGAUGUCGAGAAGGAAGAUGCUUUCAGAGGUUUAUGUGCAAUGGUUAGAGCAAACCCAUCUGGAGCUUUAAGUUCUCUCGUUUUCAUGUGCAAAGCUAUUGCUAGUUGGCAUGAAAUAAGGAGUGAAGAUCUGCACAAAGAAAUUUGCCAGGUUUUGCAUGGCUAUAAACAAAUGCUAAAAAACGGAGCAUGGGAACAAUGUAUGUCUACCUUGGAGCCACCCGUGAAGGACAAGCUAUUGAAGUAUCAAGUAUAAUAUUCCUUCAGUAUUUCGUGUUUCUGCUGAGCAAGUACAUCUCCAAUGAAUAGCCUCUUCAAAACAUCAUCAGCACUUGUAUUGUUGUCAUUUUGAGUUGGUUGUAGGGAGCCCACGUUUCACAUAGGAGCCUUUUUUGAUAGUAUUUACCAACAUAUGUAUUCUCAUUACAGCUCAAAGCUUUUCAUACCUCCUGUCCUUUCAAUGGAUUGACUUUGUGAAAUACCAUUUUAUCGGGAACUAAGGAGAAGCAUGGCCCGGAGAAUUCAAUUUGCUGUAUAGGGAUGUGCUAUUUAAAAUUUCAGAUUCUUCUCUCCCCAGGCUAAACGUGGAAGAGAAGGAUAUCUUCUUAUUCGAUGAGUUUGUUUCAUGUUUUUGCCUUGUACCUGGGGUUUAAAAGUAACUUUCUUAAGGUUCCUUGGGUAGGUUACAGUCCAAAAGUUCAUCGAAGUUUUGAUAGAAAAGGUGUCUAUGUUUAUUAAUUACUCUCUUCCACCCUGAAAGUGUAAUCUUUUACUUGAAGGCCGAGCAAAAUAGAUGGUGUUGCCUAGGGUUCAAUUAUAUAGAACAAUAAAUGUGCUGUUAGCCAUUGUGAGUUUUGAUUCUAAACGAAUUUUAUUGUUUUGGAAUUGAGAACUAAAAUUGAACUCUCGAGUGAUUUUUAUGGCUAUUAUUUUCACUGCCUACAUUGUGGUGACUUUUGGUGGUUUA